UGGGGAAUUUUGGACAAUGGGCGCAAGCCUGAUCCAGCCAUUCCGCGUGCAGGAUGAAGGCCCUCGGGUUGUAAACUGCUUUUGUACGGAACGAAACGCGUUGGGUUAAUACCUUGACGUAAUGACGGUACCGUAAGAAUAAGGACCGGCUAACUACGUGCCAGCAGCCGCGGUAAUACGUAGGGUCCAAGCGUUAUCCGGAAUCACUGGGCGUAAAGCGUGCGUAGGUGGCGCGUUAAGUGUGAUGUUAAAUCGUGGGGCUCAACCCUGUCGGUGCAUCACAUACUGGCGUGCUAGAGGACAGCAGAGGCAAGUGGAAUUUGUAGUGUAGCAGUGAAAUGCGUAGAUAUUACAAGGAACACCAAUGGCGAAGGCAGCUUGCUGGGCUACUCCUGACGCUGAGGUACGAAAGCGUGGGGAGCGAAC
RNAcentral lists this ribosomal RNA (426 nucleotides) under uncultured bacterium. RNAcentral's name for it is "bacterial SSU rRNA". It matches the Rfam family "Bacterial small subunit ribosomal RNA", at positions 355 to 773 of the family's 1533-position model. The record is from RNAcentral.